RNAcentral lists this ribosomal RNA (349 nucleotides) under Klebsiella pneumoniae. RNAcentral describes it as "bacterial SSU rRNA". It matches the Rfam family "Bacterial small subunit ribosomal RNA", at positions 1 to 348 of the family's 1533-position model. The record is from RNAcentral. Lineage: Bacteria; Pseudomonadati; Pseudomonadota; Gammaproteobacteria; Enterobacterales; Enterobacteriaceae.
AAAUUGAAGAGUUUGAUCAUGGCUCAGAUUGAACGCUGGCGGCAGGCCUAACACAUGCAAGUCGAGCGGUAGCACAGAGAGCUUGCUCUCAGGUGACGAGCGGCGGACGGGUGAGUAAUGUCUGGGAAACUGCCUGAUGGAGGGGGAUAACUACUGGAAACGGUAGCUAAUACCGCAUAACGUCGCAAGACCAAAGUGGGGGACCUUCGGGCCUCAUGCCAUCAGAUGUGCCCAGAUGGGAUUAGCUAGUAGGUGGGGUAACGGCUCACCUAGGCGACGAUCCCUAGCUGGUCUGAGAGGAUGACCAGCCACACUGGAACUGAGACACGGUCCAGACUCCUACGGGAGG